RNAcentral lists this transfer RNA (82 nucleotides) under Candidatus Pacearchaeota archaeon CG1_02_32_132. RNAcentral's name for it is "tRNA-Ser". It matches the Rfam family "tRNA". From Rfam's summary of the family: Transfer RNA (tRNA) molecules are approximately 80 nucleotides in length. Their secondary structure includes four short double-helical elements and three loops (D, anti-codon, and T loops). Further hydrogen bonds mediate the characteristic L-shaped molecular structure. tRNAs have two regions of fundamental functional importance: the anti-codon, which is responsible for specific mRNA codon recognition, and the 3' end, to which the tRNAs corresponding amino acid is attached (by aminoacyl-tRNA synthetases). tRNAs cope with the degeneracy of the genetic code in two manners: having more than one tRNA (with a specific anti-codon) for a particular amino acid; and 'wobble' base-pairing, i.e. permitting non-standard base-pairing at the 3rd anti-codon position. The record is from RNAcentral. Lineage: Archaea; Nanobdellati.
GCCGAUGUUGGGCAGUGGUAGCCCGCGGGGUUGCUAACUCCGUUUCCUCACGGAUAUGCAGGUUCGAUUCCUGCCAUCGGCG